Molecule: small nucleolar RNA, 132 nt
Organism: Hyaena hyaena (striped hyena)
Lineage: Eukaryota; Metazoa; Chordata; Mammalia; Carnivora; Hyaenidae
Product: small nucleolar RNA SNORA72
Exons: 1
Source: RefSeq, a predicted model, not a curated record
CUGCAAAUAUUCUUGCUGUUCUGAUUUUGUAAUAAUCAUGGUGGGCUAAACAUUCACUAUAUUAAGACCAUACAUAUGUCUUCUGACCUAAUUCUUUCCCUAGGUCUGGUUUUAUCAAUUCCUGUGAUAAAC